Oncorhynchus nerka (sockeye salmon) is the source of this 5780-nucleotide long non-coding RNA. RefSeq lists it as uncharacterized. The record is from RefSeq and is a predicted model, not a curated record. NCBI's taxonomy places the organism in Eukaryota, Metazoa, Chordata, Actinopteri, Salmoniformes, Salmonidae. The transcript is spliced from 2 exons.
GGUUGCAAGUUCAAACCCCCGAGCUGACACGGUACAAAUCUGUCGUUCUGCCCCUGAACAGUCAGUUAAGAACAAAUUCUUAUUUUCAAUGAUGGCCUAGGAACAGUGGGUUAACUGCCUGUUCAGGGGCAGAACGACAGAUUUGUACCGUGUCAGCUCGGGGGUUUGAACUUGCAACCUUCCGGUUACUAGUCCAACACUAACCACUAGGCUACCCUGCCGCCCCAAACCACCAUGAAACCACCAUGAAAAAGAUCAACAGAAUUUAUGUUUUAAUAGUUGAUAUAAUACAAUCAUUAUUCAGUAAACUCUUCAAGCAUUGUGUGUGUCUGUCUUAGAAGACUAACAGUCAAAUUCUUGCUUCCUCUGUCCUUGUUUUCUCCACUCCUUGCCUCUUCUUGAACGUGCAUUGUUGCCCGAGGGGAGGAACUUUGACUCCUCUCCCCAAUGUGCUUUGAGAAGGCGAGGAAUGGGGAAAACCCAUUGGAUAAGGUGAGAAAGUAUAUAGGAAAGAAAGAGAUGAGGAAAGCAGAUGUAACUAAUCAAGAAAUGCAAGGACAGGGGAAGCAGGUACUUGACUGCUAUUAAAGCCCCCAUGCAGUUGUAAUUUUAUUUUUAAAUCAUCACUGUAUGUCUAAUAAAUCACUGUUUAUUUAAUGAAAAUAACUAAUUUGUAAUAAUUUAUUUCCCUGAGCCUCCUUUGGCCCUUCAAAUGCUCAGUCUGAUCGUGUGGGCGUUGGGAAACGAAUGAAGAUAUUUACAUACACAGCCCCGAUUGGCUGAUAGGAUGGUCUAGAGCCCACCCCAUUAGCCAGGCAGUAUUACUCCGGCUCUAUCACUUGACUGUCAUUCAGAAAAUCCUUUCCAAAAUCGAAAAUUUCCCCCCAUAACUAAACAACCGGAGAUCAUAUGCGCCUCAAACAACUAUUAUGCAGAGUUAUUGAAGAACCCGGUUAAUGACCGUAUCGAUUUGUCUUGGUUCAUCAUGUUAAAGUUAUGCUUUGUGUUAGAAGUAUUCGAUUUUCAAUCCAUACAUUAUUUGGGAUAUGUGUGCACACCAUAACAUAGGGAGCAUCCCAAACAUGCUCAAUGGGUGACAUGUCUGGUGGUUAUGCAGGCCAUGGAAGAACUGGGACAUUUUCAGCUUCCAGGAAUUGUGUACAGAUCCUUUAGACCAGUGGUCACCAAACUACGGCCCGCGGGCCGGAUACGGCCCGUCAGCACAUUUGGCCCGGCCCUCUGAACAAUACCAGAGACGCUAUCAAUUUUUUUUCCUAUUUGGCCUCCAGAAAAAAAAUCCUAGGCCCGGCCCUGUCAAAGAGAGAACGGAAUAAUGGCGAAAAGGUUAGGUAAGAGAAAAAUUGAUUCAGAAUGCAGGGUAUUUAACCUGUAGUGGACAAACAAUUUUUUUUUUUGUUCAAUGCAAAGAAAAGGCUGUUUGUCUCAUCUGUCAAGAGACGGUGGCGGUAUUCAAAGAAUACAAUCUUCGCCGACACUAUGAAUCCCGUCACAAAGACAAGUACGAUAGCUUGCAAGGCCAAAUACGAGCAGACAAACUCUCAAAGCUAAAAAGUGGACUACUAUCUCAGCAGAAUACAUUUGUACGCCAAGCUCAGCUGAACCAGGCAUCCGUUCGGGCCAGCUUUCGGGUUGCUAAACUGAUAGCAAGAAGCGGUAAGCCUUUCACUGACGGAGAGUUUGUUAAGAAAUGUAUGGAUGCUGUCGCGGAGGAGGUGUGUCCCGAGAAGAAAGAUGCAUUUAAUGCCGUAAGUCUGUCGGCGAGUACAAUCACCAGACGCGUUGAAGAAAUCGGGAGUAAUGUAUAUGCCCAGCUGCAGCAGAAGACGAAAGAAUUUGACUUUUUUUCAUUAGCACUGGAUGAGAGCACGGACGUGCAAGACACAGCGCAACUGCUCAUUUUUAUUCGUGGAGUUAGCGCAAACUUUGAGAUAUGCGAGGAGCUGGCAGCCCUCCAAAGUCUCAAAGGGACUACAACGGGAGAGGAUAUUUUUGACAAAGUGUGCCAAACCAUGGAGAAGUUGGACCUGGACUGGUCAAAGCUAGCUAGCAUCACGACUGACGGGGCUCCUAGCAUGGUGGGCGAAACUCGCGGUCUAAUAGGACGCAUGAACCGGGAGUUGGAAAAAAGGGGUCUCACCGCCCCGCUACGAGUCCACUGCCUAAUUCACCAGCAAGCACUGUGCUGCAAAGUGUUGAAGUGGGAUUCUGUAAUGAAGGUUGUGGUGUCGUGCAAAACUUCAUCAGAGCAAAGGGACUUAAACACAGGCAGUUCCAAGAAUUCCUGUCUGAACUGGAGUCUACGCACGGAGAUGUGCUGUACUACACAGAGGUCCGAUGGCUGAGCCGGGGCAGAGUUUUGAGGCGUUUUUACGAGCUGCUACCCGAAAUUAACGCAUUUCUUCAUUUAAAAGACAAAACGGUCCCAGAGCUGAUCGACCCAGAAUGGAAAUGGCACCUCGCAUUUUUAACAGACGUGACAGAAAUACUUAACAGCCUUAACUUGCAGCUACAAGGCGAGGGGAAACUCAUUUGCGACAUGUAUUCACACAUAAAAGCAUUUGAGGUGAAAUUAGCGCUGCUUUUGGAACAAGUGAAAAAGCGCAACUUCGUCCAUCUUCCUGCUACCCAAAACCUGUCGACAGAGAACCCAGCGGUCCCGUUCCCAGCUGAAAAGUGCGUGGAAGCACUGGAAAUGCUGAAGGCGGAGUUCGGUGUGCGAUUCAGUGAACUACAUGUUCAUGCAAAAGAAAUCCGUCUUUUUCAGAACCCCUUUGUUGCCGACAUUGAUGAAGCCCAGCCUUCAUAUCAGUUUGAGUUGGCUGAGUUACAGAACUGUGAUGUUCUGAAAGACUCAUUCAAGCCCAACAGUCUCAUUGACUUCUAUGCCGCCCUCCCAAACGACACAUAUCCAAACAUCAAAAAACACGCAAUGAAAAUGUCCACAGUUUUUGGCAGCACGUAUAUCUGCGAGAAAACCUUUUCUCGCAUGAAACUGCUGAAAACCCCGAUGAGAUCAAGAUUGACAGAUGAACAUUUGCAUCAGUGCUUGAGACUGGCUGUAACUAGAAUGGAACCUGAUAUUCAACUUCUCACCAGCCAGAUGCAGGCCCACAGUUCACACUGAUGAACAUACAUAGGGAAGUUGAUGAGAGAGAGCUGCAAACAGCGGUGUCUACAAGCCUACUGGAACCUACAAAAGGAUUAUAAGGAAGGAACACAAGAACUUUAAGAGACUGCUCAUAUGUGUCAGAGAGAUUCUGCUCUGACAACUGAGCUGAACUUUUAUCUGUUAAGAUUGUGCAUGGCACGACAGAAAGUUAAUGUUCCAUGGCUUUUUUUUCUAUGAAGAACCCAGAGAGAGUUAUUUAGUUAUUAUUUAUUUCCUGUUUUUUCUGUGAAGAACUCAGAGAGGGUUAUUUAGUUAUUAUUUAUUUCAUUAAUAGUGUUAUUAUUUGUUUCCUGACUUUUUUUCUGUAAAGAACCUGGAAAGGGUUAUUUGGUUAUGUGUGGCUUUCUGGAAAACAAUACAUUUUUUAAGCUCCCCUACGAUCGUCACACUUUUUCUGUUACAAACUGACACCGGCCCCCCAUCAGAGAAGGGAAAAGUUAUGUGGCCCUCACAGGAAAAAGUUUGGGGACCCCUGCUUUAGACAUUGAGCCGUGCAUUAUCAUGCUGAAACAUGAGGUGAUGGUGGUGAAUGAAUGGCAUGACAAUGGGCCUCAGGAUCUUGUCACGGUAUCUCUGUGCCUUCAAAUUGCAAUCGAUAAAAUGCAAUUGUGUUCAUUGUCCGUAGCUUAUGCCUGCCCAAUACCAUAACCCCAACCCACCAUGGGACACUCUGACAACAUUGACAUCAGCAAACCACCCGCCCACACGACAACAUACACGUCGUCUGCGGUUGGACGUACUGCCAAAUUCUCUAAAACAACGUUGGAGGUGGCUUAUGGUAGAGAUAUGAACAUUCAAUACUUUGGCAACAGCUCUGGUAAACAUUCCUGCAUUCAGCAUGCCAAUUGCACGCUCCCUCAACUUGAGACAUCUGUGGCAUUGUGUUGUGAGACAACUGCACAUUUUAGUGGCCUUUUAUUGUCCCCAGCACAAGGCACACCUGUGUAAUGAUAAUUCUGUUUAAUCAGCUUCUUGAUAAUCCAUCUACCUUACUGGUGUGGCCUACCUUGGCAAUGAGAAAUGCUCACUAACAGGGAUGUAAUUUUUGCACAAUAUUUGAGUUAUUUUAAAAUGUUUUAUUUCAGCUCAUGAAACAUGGGACCAAACUUUACAUGUUGCAUUUAUAUUUUUGUUCAGUGUUCAGUAUCUUUAAUGUAUUCAUGUGAAGAAGAAAUAAAGUAAAUUAUUAUGAAUGACUUUGUAACAGCUCCAAACAGUUGUCCACUACAAGAAAUGCUCACUGGUACCUGCAUUUAUAGAAAGACUCAAAUAUGAAAUGCAUAGGCAUGGUAGCAAUUAAAAGGAAACAGUUUGGAGAUUAUGGGUAAAUUAUUAGACCAAAAUUGAGGACACAACAAUUCACCUGAAACCAGACUAAAUCCAAACAUCACAUUUUUUAUUUUAUUUGCAUUCUACAUUUACUGUACUUUUUGCCACUUUUGUUAAUGAAAUCUGAAAAUACUCUGGAUACAUUCAGUAACAUAAGAAUAUUCCUGGAAAAUGUGGGGUAGGUGCAACAGACAAAACAAUGACGGGUUUGAGUGAGAGGAUAAACACCUCUCAAGUGUGCACAGCUCUUAAGUCAUUUAAAUGCACUUUUAACUCGAAGGGUCUUCAACUAUAGGGUGCUUCUUUUUUAUUUAUUUUUUUAGCUCUCCUUGCUCUGCUGUUGAGGAACUAAAGCAAGCACACUUGUAGUUUUGUUUGGAACACAACCCUGAAUCCCCGCCAUCACACAAUUAUUGUUUACACAAUCCAAAAACAUCCUGUUAAAAAUCACAAUCUGGGUCAGGUGGGCAACAUUUGAAAGCUUGUUCAUUUGCGAACAUGACUAGCUAAGUUAUAAAAUACGAUCUUAGUGUUAGGCUUUCACAGGGCAAUUCAAAGAGAUGUAUGAUCAUGUUGGUAUGCUUAGAAAGAAGUUCCACUGCAAAUUUGUCACAAUAGACAGGCUCAUUCUGUUCAGAACAACCCAGGUUAUGACGCCAUGUCAUCUUGUAACUGUACAUGAAACAAACCUUUCUAGUUCUUUCUUUAAUCUUGCAUGAUGAAUUGGCAUCAAAAGAAAAUAAAGCCUUUUUAAGUGAGCAGAAAUUGAUGAACAGUUAUCAUAGGACUGGAUCCUUGAGUAGGAUUUUUCCGCACCACUAACUUGGUUUCCAUCCAAGUGGCAACAGAUUUUCAUGCGAAUAAAUAAAAUAUAAAAUCUGCAUAAAGAAAAGAUGCCCAUUUUCCCACCAAACUGACUUGUUGCAAAUAAAAAUCAGUGUGUGACGUAGUGCACUCAAUGUGUUUUCGUGUACUGAAUAAAAAUCUCAAUGUGUUACCAUUGCAUUUUCAACUCUACUGAUAGUUUUGUUCAAACUGUUGAGUUAAAUAGCAAAUGUGCCUACUCUGGUCUUGACACGUGCUCUCUAGCCAACAGCAUGCAGAUACAGUGCAGGGUUAGUGCUUUUUGAGUUCUGGUUCAAUUAUAAAAUAAUCACGGAUUCUGGUUUCUGUAAAACAUAAAUAAUAGUUACAUUAAAAUGCACUUAUUAUGUGGGUUGAAUUAUGUAACAACACUGAAUAAAUGAAUUCAUAAAAGUUC